GUCCGCUUUGGCAGAACAUAUACUAAAACUGGGAUGAUACAGGGAAGAUUAGCAUAGCCCCUACACCAGGAUGACACGGAAAUUCGUGAAGCGUUCCAUAUUUUU
This is a non-coding RNA of Ornithorhynchus anatinus (platypus), 105 nucleotides long. The record is from Rfam. Lineage: Eukaryota; Metazoa; Chordata; Mammalia; Monotremata; Ornithorhynchidae.